GUUUUUACCGUCAAAGUU
Molecule: small RNA, 18 nt
Filed under: Arabidopsis thaliana (thale cress)
Lineage: Eukaryota; Viridiplantae; Streptophyta; Magnoliopsida; Brassicales; Brassicaceae
Description: ATSL142120
Source: RNAcentral